UACGUAGGGGGCAAGCGUUGUCCGGACUUACUGGGCGUAAAGCGCGUGCAGGCGGAUUGGUAUGUGCCGUGUGAAAGCUCCCGGCUUGCCUGGGAGAGGUCGCGGUAGACAGCCGAUCUGGAGGCUCGGAGAGGUUCGUGGAAUUCCUGGUGUAGCGGUGAAAUGCGCAGAUAUCAGGAGGAACACCGGUGGCGAAGGCGGGUCUCUGGGCAGUAACUGACGCUGAGGAGCGCAAGCGUGGGGAGCGAACAGG
RNAcentral lists this ribosomal RNA (253 nucleotides) under uncultured bacterium. Its description in RNAcentral is "partial 16S ribosomal RNA". It matches the Rfam family "Bacterial small subunit ribosomal RNA", at positions 524 to 776 of the family's 1533-position model. The record is from RNAcentral.